ACGCUCGACACCUACAGGAGGCAGCAGUGGGGGAUAUUGCGCAAUGGGGGAAACCCUGACGCAGCAACGCCGCGUGAAGGACGAAGGUUUUCGGAUUGUAAACUUCUUUUGUUAGGGACGAAGAAAUGACGGUACCUGACGAAUAAGCUCCGGCUAACUACGUGCCAGCAGCCGUGGUAAUCUGAGCGGGCUGGCAAGGC
RNAcentral lists this ribosomal RNA (200 nucleotides) under uncultured bacterium. RNAcentral's name for it is "partial 16S ribosomal RNA". It matches the Rfam family "Bacterial small subunit ribosomal RNA", at positions 328 to 539 of the family's 1533-position model. The record is from RNAcentral.